Macaca fascicularis (crab-eating macaque) is the source of this 1984-nucleotide long non-coding RNA. NCBI's taxonomy places the organism in Eukaryota, Metazoa, Chordata, Mammalia, Primates, Cercopithecidae. The record is from Ensembl.
UUUUUUUUUUUUUUUUUUAAAUAGCACAAUAAGUGAAAAAUAAAGAGAAUCUCAAGUAGGGUGGAAACAGUGGGAAUAGAAAGGAAGUCCUCAAUGGGAUCCACAUGAAGAGCAGGCUCUGUUGGAGAAUAUCUGACAGCAGACAAGGGAGGUGAUAGUCUCAGAAGACCAAGUUUCAGUUAAGGGAGGUCUUAGCAGCAGUUUUCCAAGAGAAAGUCAUGUCAGGAGUAUUCCUCAGCAGAAUAGCCAACAGCAACUCUUACUGAACAUUUAUUCAAUAGAUGAAUACAUUAUUGGCCAUUUUUGGUUUGGGUUAAAAUGAAACAAAAACAGAAAGAUGUAAACAUGAAUGAAUGAAUGAUUUGGGUUGAGCUCUAAAGAGAAAAAUGGAAGAUGGUAAUACAAGCAAAAGUUUGUCAGAGUCAAUCUGAGGAAACGGAAGGCUGGCUGGAUAGAGAUGUGAGUAGAGAACUAGCAAAGACCUUUUCCAAGGAUGAGUGAAGGGCAGAGGAGCUAAAUCAGGGCUUGACCAAAUAGGGCCUGUGGCCGAACCCAGCCCUACCCACCUGUUUUGUGCAGCCCAUGAGCUACCAAUAAAUUUUAUGUUUUUAAAUGGUUAAAUUCAAAGAAUGAUAGCAUUUCAUGACAUGUGAAAAUGAUAUGAAACUCAAAUUUCAACUUCCAUGAAUAAAGUGACGAUGGUUUUUAUUAUUUUAUUAUUAUUAUUAUUAUUAUUUUUGCAGAAAGGACUGGCUUGCACUUUUUAAACAUUAGUUAUAUUAUUCUCACUACAACCCUAUGAGAUAAAAUUCGUUGUUCCCAUUUUACUGAUGAGCAAACUGCAGCUUAUAUUUCAGCCAAAGUCACACAGUUCAUUAAGGACAGAGUCAUCCACGGCAAUCUGCCUAUCCAGAUGUUCCAUUUUCCCCUAGGGUAAAAGCACUGGCUCUAAGAAUAGUGAGAACAAAACAUACUUAUAAAAGAGAGUUGGGGGAGGGGAUUGGGGGCUGGGCAUGGUGGCUCAUGCCUGUAAUCCCAGCACUUUGGGAGGCCAAGGUGAGUGGAUCAUUUGAGGUCAAGAGUUCAAGCCUGGCCAACAUGGUGAAACCCCGUCUCUACUAAAAAUAUAAAAAUUAGCCAGGCAUGGUGGCGGGCGCCUAUAAUCCCAGUUAUUCAGGAGGCUGAGACAGGAGAAUCACUUCAGCCCAGGAGGCAGAGGUUGCAGUCAGCGGAGAUCGCACCAUUGCACUCCAGGUUGGGCGACAGAGCGAGACUCCGUCUCAAAAAACAAAAACAAACAAACAAACAGAAAACAAAGGGAGUUGGGGAGUGUUUUGAAUGCUUAGAGGACAGUUUGGGAACUCAAUUAGAAGGGGACGGUUUAAGCAGACAUAUUUCUAAGAGACUUAUAAUGAGUUAACUCAUUUGAUCCUCACAACUCCUCCAUGAGUUGGAUGCUAUUAUUAACAACUCAGUAUUAGAUAAAGAAUUAGAUACCUUCUUAAAGACCACUUCCCAGGAGAAAGACUGUGUGUGAGUACUCUGAAGCUUUGGGUCUUCUGGUGGGUGACACCACUGGGUUUCCAAAGGCUCAACCAGCCAAGCGAAGUGUCUUUGACCUCGUCGUGUUCAAAGUGCUUAGGGAAGGAUUCUACGGACUGGGCUUUUACCCUGGUGUCCUGCAUUCUUGCUCCAAGACUUCUCUCACCACUCUCAAUCCCCUAACUGCAGCUUCUGACAGCUUCUAGCUACGAGUUCUUGGGCUCCUCCUUGGUGACUUCCUCUUAAGAUAAUUUGAGUUACCACAAAUCAGCAUUUGAAGAAAUGCAGCAGAUAAGUUGAAAAUUUAAGUGCUGAGGGAUGUCAAGGCCAAAACAAUCCUGUAGAAAGCCCAGAGGCAGAUGACAGUCUUUCGUCAAAGAUUUCACUGCUGUAGAUUUCUGAGAGUGCUGUGUAGCUGUCCUUUUCAUCCUGCGUUUGCCAC